RNAcentral lists this ribosomal RNA (252 nucleotides) under uncultured bacterium. RNAcentral describes it as "partial 16S ribosomal RNA". It matches the Rfam family "Bacterial small subunit ribosomal RNA", at positions 524 to 776 of the family's 1533-position model. The record is from RNAcentral.
UACGUAGGGUGCAAGCGUUGUCCGGAAUUAUUGGGCGUAAAGAGCUCGUAGGCGGUUUGUUGCGUCUGCUGUGAAACCCGAGGCUCAACCUCGGGCCUGCAGUGGGUACGGGCAGACUAGAGUGCGGUAGGGGAGAUUGGAAUUCCUGGUGUAGCGGUGGAAUGCGCAGAUAUCAGGAGGAACACCAAUGGCGAAGGCAGAUCUCUGGGCCGUAACUGACGCUGAGGAGCGAAAGCAUGGGGAGCGAACAGG